RNAcentral lists this ribosomal RNA (220 nucleotides) under uncultured bacterium. Its description in RNAcentral is "partial 16S ribosomal RNA". It matches the Rfam family "Bacterial small subunit ribosomal RNA", at positions 111 to 334 of the family's 1533-position model. The record is from RNAcentral.
UAAUGUAUGGGGAUCUGCCCGAUAGAGGGGGAUAACUACUGGAAACGGUGGCUAAUACCGCAUAAUGUCUACGGACCAAAGCAGGGGCUCUUCGGACCUUGCACUAUCGGAUGAACCCAUAUGGGAUUAGCUAGUAGGUGGGGUAAAGGCUCACCUAGGCGACGAUCUCUAGCUGGUCUGAGAGGAUGAUCAGCCACACUGGGACUGAGACAGGGCCCAG